RNAcentral lists this long non-coding RNA (264 nucleotides) under Sus scrofa (pig). Its description in RNAcentral is "lncRNA (ENSSSCG00070030217.1)". Lineage: Eukaryota; Metazoa; Chordata; Mammalia; Artiodactyla; Suidae. The record is from RNAcentral.
CUUUCCUCUUGCUUCCUAUCCAGAAAUCAUUUAUGAUGGCGAGAACCCUGCUGGCCAUCUUAUAUGCCCCUAAGGACGGCAUAGAAGGAGCUGACUGCUGGAAGCCAUGUGGAAUUGCCACAGAAGCCAAGGUAAGCAGAAUUACAGGCCUCCCACCGCUGUAUUAGCUUCCGCCAAAACAAAGCCCAUUUUCUGAUUUACAUUCUUUUCUGAAAAGAAUUUCUUUCUUUCUCUCCCCCCCUCCUUUUUUUUUUUGUCUUUUUG